Molecule: ribosomal RNA, 301 nt
Filed under: uncultured bacterium
Lineage: Bacteria
Description: partial 16S ribosomal RNA
Rfam family: Bacterial small subunit ribosomal RNA
Source: RNAcentral
CAGUAGCCGCGGGAAUACGUAGGGUGCAAGCGUUAAUCGGAAUUACUGGGCGUAAAGCGUGCGCAGGCGGUUCGGAAAGAAAGAUGUGAAAUCCCAGGGCUCAACCUUGGAACUGCAUUUUUAACUACCGGACUAGAGUAUGUCAGAGGGAGGUGGAAUUCCACGUGUAGCAGUGAAAUGCGUGGAGAUCAAGAGGAACACUCGUGGCGAAAGCGAGCUACUGGACAAUAUCUGACGCUGAGGCUCGAAGGCCAGGGUAGCGAAAGGGAUUAGAUACCCGGGUAGUCCCUGUCUCUUAUAC